Molecule: transfer RNA, 73 nt
Filed under: Paramuricea clavata
Lineage: Eukaryota; Metazoa; Cnidaria; Anthozoa; Malacalcyonacea; Plexauridae
Rfam family: tRNA
About the family: Transfer RNA (tRNA) molecules are approximately 80 nucleotides in length. Their secondary structure includes four short double-helical elements and three loops (D, anti-codon, and T loops). Further hydrogen bonds mediate the characteristic L-shaped molecular structure. tRNAs have two regions of fundamental functional importance: the anti-codon, which is responsible for specific mRNA codon recognition, and the 3' end, to which the tRNAs corresponding amino acid is attached (by aminoacyl-tRNA synthetases). tRNAs cope with the degeneracy of the genetic code in two manners: having more than one tRNA (with a specific anti-codon) for a particular amino acid; and 'wobble' base-pairing, i.e. permitting non-standard base-pairing at the 3rd anti-codon position.
Source: Rfam by way of RNAcentral
GACCGCGUAGCUCUGUUGGAAGAGCAUUGGGCUAGUAUUCCAAAGGUCGUAGGUUCGAAUCCCACCGUGGCCG